UGAGGAAUAUUGCGCAAUGGGCGAAAGCCUGACGCAGCGACGCCGCGUGGAGGAUGACGGCCUUCGGGUUGUAAACUCCUGUCAGUGGGGAAGAGAUAGGACGGUACCCACUGAGGAAGCUUCGGCUAACUACGUGCCAGCAGCCGCGGUAAGACGUAGGGAGCAAGCGUUGUCCGGAAUUACUGGGCGUAAAGAGCUCGUAGGCGGGAGCGUAAGUCUGAAAGGAAAUCUCAAGGCUCAACUUUGGGGC
Molecule: ribosomal RNA, 250 nt
Filed under: uncultured bacterium
Lineage: Bacteria
Description: partial 16S ribosomal RNA
Rfam family: Bacterial small subunit ribosomal RNA
Source: RNAcentral